CAGGUACAGAGGGCAGCUACCCAGCAAUGGGAUGCGAAUCUCGAAAGCCUGUCUCAGUUCGGAUUGGAGGCUGAAACCCGCCUCCAUGAAGUUGGAUUCGCUAGUAAUCGCGCAUCAGCCAUGGCGCGGUGAAUACGUUCCCGGGCCUUGUACACACCGCCCGUCAAGCCAUGGGAGCCGGGGGUGCCUGAAGUCCGGGACCGCGAGGACCGGCCUAGGGCGAAACUGGUAACUGGGGCUAAGUCGUAACAAGGUAGC
This 258-nucleotide ribosomal RNA is filed under the name uncultured bacterium. RNAcentral's name for it is "partial 16S ribosomal RNA". It matches the Rfam family "Bacterial small subunit ribosomal RNA", at positions 1234 to 1500 of the family's 1533-position model. The record is from RNAcentral.